RNAcentral lists this small RNA (130 nucleotides) under Streptomyces collinus. Its description in RNAcentral is "c-di-AMP sequence". It matches the Rfam family "c-di-AMP riboswitch aptamer (ydaO/yuaA leader)". Rfam says of the family: This family represents a conserved RNA structure found upstream of the ydaO and yuaA genes in Bacillus subtilis and related genes in other bacteria. The ydaO/yuaA element is thought to act as a genetic "off" switch for the ydaO and yuaA genes in its native state. It is believed that the element may be triggered during osmotic shock leading to activation of ydaO, a predicted amino acid transporter gene, and members of the yuaA-yubG operon which code for KtrA and KtrB K+ transporters. Lineage: Bacteria; Bacillati; Actinomycetota; Actinomycetes; Kitasatosporales; Streptomycetaceae. The record is from RNAcentral.
GACGGACGUUCGUCGCAGACGGACGGUCGUGCCGAGCAACCCUUGGGGUGAAGCCGCGACAAGCGGCCGGGCAACUUCGCCAGCCCGAAUCCGACAGGUCAUCCUUCACAGGCGGCUGACGAAGGGUUGC